RNAcentral lists this ribosomal RNA (467 nucleotides) under uncultured bacterium. RNAcentral's name for it is "partial 16S ribosomal RNA". It matches the Rfam family "Bacterial small subunit ribosomal RNA", at positions 28 to 506 of the family's 1533-position model. The record is from RNAcentral.
GACGAACGCUGGCGGCGUGCUUAACACAUGCAAGUCGAACGGAAAGGCCCUGCUUUUGUGGGGUGCUCGAGUGGCGAACGGGUGAGUAACACGUGAGUAACCUGCCCUUGACUUUGGGAUAACUUCAGGAAACUGGGGCUAAUACCGGAUAGGAGCUCCUGCUGCAUGGUGGGGGUUGGAAAGUUUCGGCGGUUGGGGAUGGACUCGCGGCUUAUCAGCUUGUUGGUGGGGUAGUGGCUUACCAAGGCUUUGACGGGUAGCCGGCCUGAGAGGGUGACCGGCCACAUUGGGAAUGAGAGACGGCCCAGACUCCUACGGGAGGCAGCAGGGGGGAAUAUGGCACAAUGGGCGGAAGCCUGAUGCAGCAACGCCGCGUGCGGGAGGACGGCCUUCGGGUGGUAAACCGCUUUCGCCUGUGACGAAGCGUGAGUGACGGUAAUGGGUAAAGAAGCAACGGCGAACUACGU